Molecule: ribosomal RNA, 454 nt
Filed under: uncultured bacterium
Lineage: Bacteria
Description: partial 16S ribosomal RNA
Rfam family: Bacterial small subunit ribosomal RNA
Source: RNAcentral
UGGGGAAUAUUGCACAAUGGGCGCAAGCCUGAUGCAGCCAUGCCGCGUGUGUGAAGAAGGCCUUAGGGUUGUAAAGCACUUUCAGCGAGGAGGAAGGCAUCACACUUAAUACGUGUGGUGAUUGACGUUACUCGCAGAAGAAGCACCGGCUAACUCCGUGCCAGCAGCCGCGGUAAUACGGAGGGUGCAAGCGUUAAUCGGAAUUACUGGGCGUAAAGCGCACGCAGGCGGUUUGUUAAGUCAGAUGUGAAAUCCCCGCGCUUAACGUGGGAACUGCAUUUGAAACUGGCAAGCUAGAGUCUUGUAGAGGGGGGUAGAAUUCCAGGUGUAGCGGUGAAAUGCGUAGAGAUCUGGAGGAAUACCGGUGGCGAAGGCGGCCCCCUGGACAAAGACUGACGCUCAGGUGCGAAAGCGUGGGGAGCAAAACAGGAUUAGAGUACCCUGGUAGUCCACG